UACGUAGGGGGCUAGCGUUGUCCGGAAUCAUUGGGCGUAAAGCGCGCGUAGGCGGCCCGGUAAGUCCGCUGUAAAAGUCAAAGGCUCAACCUUUGAAUGUCAGUGGAUACUGCCGGGCUAGAGUCCGGAAGAGGCGAGUGGAACUCCUGGUGUAGCGGUGGAAUGCGCAGAUAUCAGGAAGAACACCGACGGCGAAGGCAGCUCGCUGGGACGGUACUGACGCUGAGGCGCGAAAGCGUGGGGAGCGAAUGGG
Molecule: ribosomal RNA, 253 nt
Filed under: uncultured bacterium
Lineage: Bacteria
Description: partial 16S ribosomal RNA
Rfam family: Bacterial small subunit ribosomal RNA
Source: RNAcentral